RNAcentral lists this ribosomal RNA (207 nucleotides) under uncultured bacterium. RNAcentral describes it as "partial 16S ribosomal RNA". It matches the Rfam family "Bacterial small subunit ribosomal RNA", at positions 568 to 774 of the family's 1533-position model. The record is from RNAcentral.
CGCGUAGGCGGGGAGGUAAGUCGGGUGUGAAAUCCCUCGGCCCAACCGAGGAACUGCGCCCGAAACUGCUUCUCUUGAGUCCCGGAGAGGAAGAUGGAAUUCCCGGUGUAGCGGUGAAAUGUGUAGAGAUCGGGAGGAACACCGGUGGCGAAGGCGGUCUUCUGGACGGCGACUGACGCUGAGGCGCGAAAGCGUGGGGAGCAAACG